RNAcentral lists this long non-coding RNA (2295 nucleotides) under Sus scrofa (pig). RNAcentral describes it as "lncRNA (ENSSSCG00030015516.1)". The record is from RNAcentral. Lineage: Eukaryota; Metazoa; Chordata; Mammalia; Artiodactyla; Suidae.
UUGACCUUGAAGAGAUUGUGGGAGAUGGGAGGAGGACGGGCAUGUGGGGAAAGAGCAGCUGGCAUUGUGACCAGCCUAGAAUCUGGGGCCCCGGGCAGGAGAUGGGCCACAUUCCCGCCCGGAGGUGAUGGAUUAAGGUGGGGCCUGUGGGAAUUCGGAGGAGGAGGAGGUAGUCAGAGAGCCCCUUUGGCUUGGAGACAGGACAUGGGGGAGAGAAGGUGCUGACAUCUUGAGCCUUAAUGAUUGACAGAAACAGAAAAGUCAGGGUUCAGACUUGUUCGGGGAGUCAUGCUUGCUUUGCUUUUUUAGACGGGUUGCCAUCAAGACAAUGGCAGGGUAUCUGGAUGGAAACGUUACAGUCAGGCAGGUAAAGUUUGCCGUGGACCUGGGCGCUGGGAGGAGAUCUGGAGGAGACUACUGCCGGACCAGUUUCUGCUAAUGAGCACCCACGUCUUCCCCCCACCCACACCCCGUUCUGAAGCUGAGGUUUCUGUUUAGGUCUUCUUCUCCCUGGUAACGACCUUUGGGAGGGGAUGUCCUGGAAAGAUAGAGCCACACACUUAACCGCUCCGAGCUCUCGGUCUUGACCUUGGUGCUAUCAUUUGCUUAUCAGUUCCUGAGCGGUCGGAGACGUGCUGUCGCGACACAUGCCCUGGGUCCUCAGCCUCCACCAGCAAGGCUGCUUGUUCUGAUGCCUUUCCAGUCAUCUUUCUAGAGGAAAAAGAGCACUGCCCAGAAUCAGGAAGCCUUGGGCAGCUACAUGAUCCCGGGCAAGUGGCUGCUUUUUCCAAGCCUUCGUGCCUGGCCGAAGAUGCGCAUUUCUUCCCCUUUUCCCAGGUCUCUGCGGCAGACUAGGCUUUUGAAGCUAGCAGCCCCGCUCGUGGGAGGGAAUAGCAGGAAUGGGGGUCCCCCGAGCACACCCCGCUCUCCAGAGUGGGUAGCAGCCUCCCAGAGGGAGGGUGGCCUCCGUUCCUCUUGGGAGCUUGGACAUACUAGACGAGUAGGUUGUCCCAGGGACCAGGAGUUGGCAGACGGUAGCCCAUGGGCUGGCCGCCUUCUUUGGUAAAUAAAGUUUUAUUGGGACAGAGAUGCGUACACUGUUUGUCGUGUCGUCUGUGGCCGCUGGAGGUGGCACGACCUACAAGCCGAAAGGAUUUACUGGCUCACCUUUCGAGAAAGAAAUGGCCAACCCUGGCCCUAGACCACCAGGAAAGAGCUCGGACCUCCACUGGGGAUGCUCGUGAGGCCGUUUCGGCUUCCUAGGGCUCUUGCAGCUUCUGCCUCGGGGGCCUUCCUUUGCGAUCCCAAGCAAGGAUGACGUGGCAGUUUUUAGAGUCAGCCCACAGAGAGUAGUGCGGCCGCUGGGAAGUCUGCUGCGUUUUCGUCCCUGUCCCUGCAGCCUGGAGGGCGUCCAUUCCAGCCCUCUCCCCUCUCCCCACCCACACACUCGAACUUCUUCGUGUCCGGGACCCUGAAUUCGUCACUGGGGAUGGCUCGUGGCCUUGGGGCGACAAGCUGCCCUUCCUCUUCUUCCCAGGCCAUGCGGGGGAGAACGGACCAACCCAAACCCAGUGUCUGGUGAGGAGAAGGGGCGCCUCACUGGUUCUGCCAAGUCCCGCAGCACGUGUCCCUUGAUAGCUUUGCUGUGUCACUUCCGGCUUCACUGUGCCCUUUAGUUCCAAGGCCCUGGAGAUGCGCCUGCAAAGAGGGUUUGUCUGCCUGAACUUGGCACUCCUCCACGGUCGGAACCAGGCCCCGUGGCUUGGGGUUUGGGGAGUGUGUGUCUGUGUUGGCAGGGGCUGGAGUUGGCACUCAGGAGCCCUGCGUCAGCCCUUACCGAGUCCCCUUGUGUUCUGGUUCCCACCUGGUUUGAUGUGGUCCUCAAACUGGAGUCUCAGUGAAACUCCUGGCUGGGAGCAGGGUGAAUUUCAAGAUCUUGCUUUUACAAAACAGAAGCACCAGAGCAGAUGGGUCACUUCAGCUCAGGGCUGAGAUAGGAAGUGAGACACUGGUGGCAAGAGGAACCCGCGUGCUCAGAGCAGUAUGGGGGGGGGGGCGCAGAUGACUGAGGUUUAUUCCCAUUGCAGCUGGAAGGGAGGAGGCUGGCAGUGGGAGGAGGGAGCAGACGACCCAGAAUAGCAAAGAAGACAGAAGCUCAGCACACCCAGAGCUGCUUUUAGCUGGGCCUGGUAAGCCUGGCUCUAGGAGCCUUACUUCUCACCUCCCUACACACAUUUUUCCCAGAGGCCAGGUUUCUGAGUGUUCUCAUAAAAAAAAAAAAAAAAAAAAAAAAAA